CCCAGACUCCUACGGGAGGCAGCAGUGGGGGAUAUUGCACAAUGGGGGGAACCCUGAUGCAGCGACGCCGCGUGGGUGAAGGAGUAUUUCGGUAUGUAAAGCCCUAUCGGCAGGGAAGAAGCAAGACGGUACCUGACUAAGAAGCCCCGGCUAACUACGUGCCAGCAGCCGCGGUAAUACGUAGGGGGCGAGCGUUAUCCGGAUUCACUGGGUGUAAAGGGAGCGUAGACGGCCAUGCAAGCCAGGGGUGAAAGCCCGGGGCCCAACCCCGGGACUGCCCUUGGAACUGCAUGGCUGGAGUGCGGGAGGGGCAGGCGGAAUUCCUGGUGUAGCGGUGAAAUGCGUAGAUAUUAGGAGGAACACCAGUGGCGAAGGCGGCCUGCUGGGCUUUUACUGACGCUGAGGCUCGAAAGUGUGGGGAGCAAACAGGAUUAGAUACCCCCGUA
This 446-nucleotide ribosomal RNA is filed under the name uncultured bacterium. RNAcentral describes it as "bacterial SSU rRNA". It matches the Rfam family "Bacterial small subunit ribosomal RNA", at positions 330 to 792 of the family's 1533-position model. The record is from RNAcentral.